Molecule: ribosomal RNA, 598 nt
Filed under: uncultured bacterium
Lineage: Bacteria
Description: bacterial SSU rRNA
Rfam family: Bacterial small subunit ribosomal RNA
Source: RNAcentral
ACCGGCGCACGGGUGAGUAACGCGUAUCCAACCUACCCUUGUCCAUCGGAUAACCCGUCGAAAGGCGGCCUAACACGAUAUGGAGAAGGAUGGGGAUGCGUCUGAUUAGCUUGUUGGCGGGGUAACGGCCCACCAAGGCGACGAUCAGUAGGGGUUCUGAGAGGAAGGUCCCCCACAUUGGAACUGAGACACGGUCCAAACUCCUACGGGAGGCAGCAGUGAGGAAUAUUGGUCAAUGGACGAGAGUCUGAACCAGCCAAGUAGCGUGCAGGAUGACGGCCUAUGGGUUGUAAACUGCUUUUAUAGGGGGAUAGGUACCCUAUGAAUAAGGACCGGCUAAUUCCGUGCCAGCAGCCGCGGUAAUACGGAAGGUCCGGGCGUUAUCCGGAUUUAUUGGGUUUAAAGGGAGCGUAGGCCGUCUUAUAAGCGUGUUGUGAAAUGUCGGGGCUCAACCUGGGCAUUGCAGCGCGAACUGUGAGACUUGAGUGCGCAGGAAGUAGGCGGAAUUCGUCGUGUAGCGGUGAAAUGCUUAGAUAUGACGAAGAACUCCGAUUGCGAAGGCAGCCUGCUGUAGCGCAACUGACGCUGAAGCUCGAAA